UACGUAGGGUGCAAGCGUUGUCCGGAAUUAUUGGGCGUAAAGAGCGUGUAGGCGGCUAGAUAGGUCCGUUGUGAAAACUCGAGGCUCAACCUCGAGACGUCGAUGGAAACCAUCUGGCUAGAGUCCGGAAGAGGAGAGUGGAAUUCCUGGUGUAGCGGUGAAAUGCGCAGAUAUCAGGAGGAACACCGAUGGCGAAGGCAGGUCUCUGGGCCAUAACUGACGCUGAGAAGCGAAAGCAUGGGGAGCGAACAGG
RNAcentral lists this ribosomal RNA (253 nucleotides) under uncultured bacterium. RNAcentral's name for it is "partial 16S ribosomal RNA". It matches the Rfam family "Bacterial small subunit ribosomal RNA", at positions 524 to 776 of the family's 1533-position model. The record is from RNAcentral.